UGUCAGAUAGCUCAGUCAGUACAGCAACUGAUUCGUAAUCGCUGGUUCGGAGGAUCGACUCCUUCUCCCUCCUCGA
This 76-nucleotide transfer RNA is filed under the name Alcanivorax sp. S71-1-4. Its description in RNAcentral is "tRNA-OTHER". Lineage: Bacteria; Pseudomonadati; Pseudomonadota; Gammaproteobacteria; Oceanospirillales; Alcanivoracaceae. The record is from RNAcentral.